AUUGAACGCUGGCGGCAGGCCUAACACAUGCAAGUCGAGCGAGCGGCGGACGGGUGAGUAAUGUCUGGGAAACUGCCUGAUGGAGGGGGAUAACUACUGGAAACGGUAGCUAAUACCGCAUACCAUCGGAUGUGCCCAGAUGGGAUUAGCUAGUAGGUGGGGUAACGGCUCACCUAGGCGACGAUCCCUAGCUGGUCUGAGGGGAUGACCAGCCAAACGUGAAAUGAGACACGGGCCAGACUCCUUCGGGAGGCAGCAGUGGGGAAUAUUGGACAAUUGGCGGAAGCCUGAUGCAGCCAUGCCGCGUGGAAGAAGAAGGCCUUCGGGGUGUAAAGUACUUUCAGCGGGGAAGCGGUACCCCCAGAAGAAGCACCGGCUAACUCCGUGCCAGCAGCCGCGGUAAUAC
Molecule: ribosomal RNA, 406 nt
Filed under: uncultured bacterium
Lineage: Bacteria
Description: partial 16S ribosomal RNA
Rfam family: Bacterial small subunit ribosomal RNA
Source: RNAcentral